This 253-nucleotide ribosomal RNA is filed under the name uncultured bacterium. Its description in RNAcentral is "partial 16S ribosomal RNA". It matches the Rfam family "Bacterial small subunit ribosomal RNA", at positions 524 to 776 of the family's 1533-position model. The record is from RNAcentral.
UACAGAGGAUCCGAGCGUUAUCCGGAUUUAUUGGGUUUAAAGGGUGCGUAGGCGGCCUAUUAAGUCAGGGGUGAAAGACGGUAGCUCAACUAUCGCAGUGCCCUUGAUACUGAUGGGCUUGAAUGUACUAGAGGUAGGCGGAAUGUGACAAGUAGCGGUGAAAUGCAUAGAUAUGUCACAGAACACCAAUUGCGAAGGCAGCUUACUAUGGUAUUAUUGACGCUGAGGCACGAAAGCGUGGGGAUCAAACAGG